RNAcentral lists this transfer RNA (73 nucleotides) under Nannocystis pusilla. It matches the Rfam family "tRNA". From Rfam's summary of the family: Transfer RNA (tRNA) molecules are approximately 80 nucleotides in length. Their secondary structure includes four short double-helical elements and three loops (D, anti-codon, and T loops). RNAcentral also lists the same sequence under 2 other names. Lineage: Bacteria; Pseudomonadati; Myxococcota; Nannocystales; Nannocystaceae. The record is from Rfam by way of RNAcentral.
GGGGUCGUAGCUCAGUCGGGAGAGCGCCUGCUUCGCAAGCAGGAGGUCGUCGGUUCGAGUCCGACCUUCUCCA